Molecule: ribosomal RNA, 780 nt
Filed under: Acinetobacter rhizosphaerae
Lineage: Bacteria; Pseudomonadati; Pseudomonadota; Gammaproteobacteria; Moraxellales; Moraxellaceae
Description: bacterial SSU rRNA
Rfam family: Bacterial small subunit ribosomal RNA
Source: RNAcentral
UUAACACAUGCAAGUCGAGCGGGGAAAGGUAGCUUGCUACCGGACCUAGCGGCGGACGGGUGAGUAAUGCUUAGGAAUCUGCCUAUUAGUGGGGGACAACAUCUCGAAAGGGAUGCUAAUACCGCAUACGUCCUACGGGAGAAAGCAGGGGAUCUUCGGACCUUGCGCUAAUAGAUGAGCCUAAGUCGGAUUAGCUAGUUGGUGGGGUAAAGGCCUACCAAGGCGACGAUCUGUAGCGGGUCUGAGAGGAUGAUCCGCCACACUGGGACUGAGACACGGCCCAGACUCCUACGGGAGGCAGCAGUGGGGAAUAUUGGACAAUGGGCGCAAGCCUGAUCCAGCCAUGCCGCGUGUGUGAAGAAGGCCUUAUGGUUGUAAAGCACUUUAAGCGAGGAGGAGGCUACUUUAGAUAAUACCUAGAGAUAGUGGACGUUACUCGCAGAAUAAGCACCGGCUAACUCUGUGCCAGCAGCCGCGGUAAUACAGAGGGUGCAAGCGUUAAUCGGAUUUACUGGGCGUAAAGCGCGCGUAGGCGGCUAAUUAAGUCAAAUGUGAAAUCCCCGAGCUUAACUUGGGAAUUGCAUUCGAUACUGGUUAGCUAGAGUGUGGGAGAGGAUGGUAGAAUUCCAGGUGUAGCGGUGAAAUGCGUAGAGAUCUGGAGGAAUACCGAUGGCGAAGGCAGCCAUCUGGCCUAACACUGACGCUGAGGUGCGAAAGCAUGGGGAGCAAACAGGAUUAGAUACCCUGGUAGUCCAUGCCGUAAACGAUGUCUACUAGCCG